Molecule: ribosomal RNA, 301 nt
Filed under: uncultured bacterium
Lineage: Bacteria
Description: partial 16S ribosomal RNA
Rfam family: Bacterial small subunit ribosomal RNA
Source: RNAcentral
CAGUCGCCGCGGGAAUACGGAGGGGGCUAGCGUUGUUCGGAAUUACUGGGCGUAAAGCGUACGUAGGCGGAUGUUUAAGUCAGAGGUGAAAGCCCAGGGCUCAACCUUGGAACUGCCUUUGAUACUGGACAUCUUGAGUAUGGGAGAGGUGAGUGGAACUCCGAGUGUAGAGGUGAAAUUCGUAGAUAUUCGGAAGAACACCAGUGGCGAAGGCGACUCACUGGCCCAUUACUGACGCUGAGGCGCGAAAGCGUGGGGAGCAAACAGGAUUAGAUACCCGAGUAGUCCCUGUCUCUUAUAC